UACGUAGGGUGCAAGCGUUGUCCGGAAUUAUUGGGCGUAAAGAGCUCGUAGGCGGUUUGUCGCGUCUGCUGUGAAAACCUGAGGCUCAACCUCAGGCCUGCAGUCGAUACGGGCGGACUUGAGUACUGCAGGGGAGACUGGAAUUCCUGGUGUAGCGGUGGAAUGCGCAGAUAUCAGGAGGAACACCGAUGGCGAAGGCAGAUCUCUGGGCCGUAACUGACGCUGAGGAGCGAAAGCAUGGGGAGCGAACAGG
Molecule: ribosomal RNA, 253 nt
Filed under: uncultured bacterium
Lineage: Bacteria
Description: partial 16S ribosomal RNA
Rfam family: Bacterial small subunit ribosomal RNA
Source: RNAcentral